RNAcentral lists this ribosomal RNA (490 nucleotides) under uncultured bacterium. RNAcentral's name for it is "bacterial SSU rRNA". It matches the Rfam family "Bacterial small subunit ribosomal RNA", at positions 15 to 507 of the family's 1533-position model. The record is from RNAcentral.
GAUCAUGGCUCAGGAUGAACGCUAGCGGCAGGCUUAACACAUGCAAGUCGAGGGGGUAUAGUAGCAAUACUAGAGACCGGCGCACGGGUGCGUAACGCGUAUGCAACCUACCUUUACAGAGGGAUAGCCCAGAGAAAUUUGGAUUAAUACCUCAUAGUGUUAUUAGAUGGCAUCAUUUGAUAACUAAAGUUCCAACGGUAAAAGAUGGGCAUGCGUCCUAUUAGCUAGAUGGUAAGGUAACGGCUUACCAUGGCUACGAUAGGUAGGGGGUCCUGAGAGGGAGAUCCCCCACACUGGUACUGAGACACGGACCAGACUCCUACGGGAGGCAGCAGUGAGGAAUAUUGGACAAUGGGCGCAAGCCUGAUCCAGCCAUGCCGCGUGCAGGAAGAAGCAUCUAUGGUGUGUAAACUGCUUUUGUACGGGAAGAAACACUCCUACGUGUAGGAGCUUGACGGUACCGUAAGAAUAAGGAUCGGCUAACUCCGUG